AUAAUCUGACGUUGAGAUGAAAAACAGGUGUGCAGGUAGAUGAAUGAUUGGAGGAAUGCCCGCUCUGCCCUACUCCACUCCAGUAGGGCAGGUAAACUCAAACAGCGUGGAAUGGAGCGAAUAGCUAUACCAAACAAGACAGCAAUCCUUACGGAUAUCACCGGGAAUGGAAAGGUGCUGUGGACAGACUGAAAAGUGGAGCACUUGUUGAAGAAGUCCUGUUUGUCGGAUGUGCUUUUCAAAGAGAUCUGCAUCAGUACGAGACAAUCAGAGCAACUGGAAAAUGUGAUGUGAUUUGCAAAGGAAGAAGGCCUCAAGAGGGAUUCAGCACAAAGGUUGUCGUAUCUUUAAGGAAGAAUAAUGUGCUGGCGAAUCCAGCAGACCUCGAGGAUGAGCACCUGUAGUUCAAGGGCCACAGACAGAGAACAAGGCUGAAUUGUUUUAGAGAGCGAGUGAGGCCAAACAGACAGGAAUCCGUGAGUCUGCAGCUCCGGUCCUUGGAUGUGUUCGACAACUCUCAGUGGAGCUCAACAUAAUUUUUCCCUGGGUCUGCCUGGUGAUUCCUGUUUAUAUUGUUUAGCUUUGCUGUAUUUGUCGUAGGACACGAAGAAAUUCUUCCUCAACAUUCAAUUAGUGUGGAGUUUGAGUUAUUUGGUUGGAAAUAGGAUAUCUCCUGUAGGAAAACAAACAUUUAAAACAUUUAAUUAAUAUUUAUAACUGAAUGAAAUUUGUAGUAAUGGUCACACAAAAAUAACAAGAAAGAGAGAAAUGGAUCCUGUUCUUGUCGCAAACAAUUGCUGACUUGAAUUUCAACUCAAAAAAACUGAAUAUUUCCAAUAUACUUCAGUCUAGACAAAUUGUUCGAAAGACCAAAAGUAGUCAAUGAGCACCAUGGCUUUUACGUGUUUAUAAAUUGGAUUUUCAUUGACACUGGCUGAUAUGAUCAUUUAAACAAAUAUACAGUAUAACACGGUGAAGUGCCAAGUGUUAGAUUCACAGUUAGAAUAGAUAAACAUCUCAGCUAAAUAGGCUUGUAAACUUGCUUUUAAAUAUGAACAGGCAGUAUUGUACUAUAUGCUAAUGAUGUUGUGAGCUAAAUGCUAAUAGAAUGCUAACAUGCUCACAAUGUUAAUGUUAUAAGGCUGAUUUUUUUCCAGGUAUGUUUACCAUCUUAGUUUGCUGUGUUAAUAUGCUUUAUGUUAUUUACCAAUAAAAGCAAAACAUGAAGUGCAGCUGACACUGAUGGGAGUUUUUAGUUGAUUUUUGUUUAGUUUUGCGGUUAUUUGAUCAUAAUUUUUUGGAGCACCAGCAGAAACAAGUUGUGCACUCAGCACUGUGUAUACUGUGUCAUAGGCCUGUAUUCCUUGUGUUCACACAAACUGAUAUGUGGUUACUUCUUCCUGUCUGAGUUGAUGUUGUUACGUUGGAGUAGAAGAGACAAAUGGCUGAAGAUAGAUUACAACACUGCCACCUAGCUGUCAGGGGUUUAAAUACAACAACUUGAAUUACUUCCAUGAAUCUUUGCAUUUAAACUGUUUAGAAAAAAAUUGAUCGUGUUUUUGAGAAUUUAUGUAGUACGACACAACAUAAUAUCACAGUACUGCCAUUCAGCAGUUACAGUAAUAUCAUCGUUCAGGUGGAGUCAUGUUUGUGUUCACCUGAAGAAAAUUCAAUAUUCACUCUCUUUCAGCUCUGAUUUUGUCUCCACUGACUCCUUAGGGAAAUGAUUGUCUUUUUAGCUGCUAAGUGCUCCAAUUAUUUCACCGGCCUAUUCAUGACUUUGUCUCUCUACAUUUUGCUAUGAGCAGGUUAUUUAUUUAUUGAGCUUUUGGAAAAAUGACGCUAUCUCUCCCUCAUAGAUGUCAUGGUAAUCCAACUGAUAGUUGUUGAGAUAAUUCUGGACACUGAAUCAGAACUGACAAGCCCACCAGCAAACUGGAUGUUGCAUUUUCAAUAAAUGGCUCUUUUUUCGAAAUCCUAUUAAACUAAGCUUCAUCUUCUCUGUUGAGUAAUAGUGAUGCGCAGUCACACAGAUUUUAGAGAAGUCUUCCUUUUUUGCAGUGUAAAUCCUCAGUUUUGAAAGUGAUGCAGUAAAUUUAAAAGAAGAGAACCUGACUAUGAGACAGCCAGAAUGAGGUGACACAUUUCCCUGUUAGAAACCGUGGCUCCUAAGCCCAGAAUUUGCAUGGCCUACGUCUCAUUGAAAAUCCAUAAGCAUAGCAUGUGUCACAUCUGCAUGCAUGCAGGAGUCCCCUCAUCUGUUACAGAAUCUCCUGGGGCUGCCUACAGU
Scatophagus argus is the source of this 2290-nucleotide long non-coding RNA. RefSeq lists it as uncharacterized. NCBI's taxonomy places the organism in Eukaryota, Metazoa, Chordata, Actinopteri, Scatophagidae. The record is from RefSeq and is a predicted model, not a curated record. The transcript is spliced from 3 exons.